This 212-nucleotide long non-coding RNA is filed under the name Capsicum annuum. Its description in RNAcentral is "long non-coding RNA (CANN_LNC005958)". Lineage: Eukaryota; Viridiplantae; Streptophyta; Magnoliopsida; Solanales; Solanaceae. The record is from RNAcentral.
UUAAAGCCAUCCUUCUAAAAUUAUAGACCUAUUUCAUAUCCCUAGGACUUAGCCAUAAUUUAUUCACUCUAAUGUUCUACAGAGAAAUCAACUCACGCAAAUGAACUAUAUAUAAAAUAUACUAACUUCAUUCUUGGACAAUCCCCCUUCACAUAUACUAUCCUUAACUUUUGCUAUCUUCAAUAAUCAUAGCCAUAAACUUACACUCUCCC